CAAAGAGAGAGGUAGGAGAAAUGAGGACAGAUAGUGUAGGGGGCAAAAGAUGUUCUCUGAAUCAGGCAAGGACAAGCAAAUGAGCACUGAAUUUGCACAAGCAAAUGAUGUUCUAGCUAGGUGUGAGAACUCGCUGCUCAUUAUCGUGCUUGGCAAAACCAGGGGAAGCUACAUAAACUCUGCAGAACCACAGGAUUUGGGGCACAAUUCUGCUUCCCCUUACAGCAGUUCCUCCUGAUGAUCCCCACAGCUGCAGCAAGGUGGCAGAUAGCUUAUUCCAACACAAAGCAAGAAUUUUACAGACAUCUGAAAGAACUGUCAAGGAAUGAAGACUAAGGAAUGCUGUUGUUGUCCUUUGCCACCUUCAGAUGGUCCCCUCGUGUCUGGAAAUGCCCUUUGCUGCACCUGGGACAGAGUGGUGCUAAGCUUUUAAUGACCUAUAACGUGCGUUUGCACCAACACAAACAGAGGCAGCCAACGCCGUGGCAGAGCACUGGUCAUCAGCGAUGGCAAACAAACACUGCUGUCAUCUGGGUAGUCAACAACCUGCUCAUCACGGCUGAGCUACGAGACAGCCCUAAAGGCUACAGACAGCUCCGGCUGGUCCGCAGGGAUCAGCUGGCCAGACCCCCUGCUGUUGGGCAAAUGCCAAUAAGGGAAGUGCUGAGCACCCUUAGCUUCUACUUUACAACAUAGGCGCUGCAGCAAUCCAGGGGAACAGAAAGGAGAAACAAAUCGAAUGCCUCUAUGUGGAAGAAAUGUCAUUAUGCCUUGAAGUGAUGGAACAGUGAGAGUGGAACAAAAGGGAAAAGGAGUGAUGACUACUUGCAUCUCCCAGGAUUGCAAAAAUUUGGAUGUCACUCAGCCUCUAUGGAAAACAGCUGCUCAGCCCUUCAAUAAAAGCAGUGCUCCAAAUUAGUGAAGUCAUGUUUUACUUUCAAGGCUUUAUUAUGAAAUUUGUUAAAGGAUAACAAAAAUAAUUAAACACCUUACAUAUGCUGCUGUAGAUAAGCACUGUGAUAAGCAGAUCAAGAGAUAUUAUUGUAGUUACUCAUCAUUUGUGAGGCCCAUAUUGACUGUUUCACAGAUGACAUAUUUCACAGACAAAUAAAGGGAUAUGAUGAGAGGGCUUUGGGAGUGAAACAUCUCACUGCAUUAAUGAAGACAGCUCCAUUAGUCUUAAGGGACAGACAACUUCUCAUUCAUGCCCACAGAAAUUUUUAACUUUGACAUCUUUUCUUCCUUCACUCCCCCCACUCGUCCCUUUUUUCUGUCACUCUAAUUCAGCAAAAUCUGGUUUUGUAGCAACCUGCAAUGUCUCCAGCAGCAAGGUAUUCUGGAAAGCUGUUUCCUUCCCAGUGAGCUGCAGACUACCUUCACCCCUGCUAAAAGCAGAGCUUGCUAACUAGUAGCACCUGGUCUGUUGACUGUAGAUAGCCUUGUGUGCUUUGAUAUUUCAAACCCUGGCAAGAUUGCAAAUAUCAGGCUCAGAGCAACAAGAGUCCACUAUCCUCAGUUUUACUCUCAUUUACUCUCUUUAUGCUCAUUGCACAGUACAGGAAAGAAGCCUUUGCAUGCAUUACCUCCAACACUUGUUGGGAAUGACAAGGCAAACAUCUUCCCCACUAACAAAGAAAAGGGGAAAUAACACCAUGCUCUCCCUUAUUGUCCUGCCUUGAUUCAGUGGGAACUAACAGUCAAUGAAGGCAACAGGUUUGAUUACUCCUUGCAACUAUACGGAUUUCUUCAAGAAGAUAAACAGUAAUAUUUGCAUAACUUCCAUUUUAAGGACCUAGGUGAAAUAACCCUCCCUAUACUUUGGAUUACGCUCCUUUUGUUAGGCAGGGUGUGCUAUCUAUGAAAAAACAAACAGCUAUUUUAAAAAAUUACAUCCUGGUUUCUCUUUUGCCCUCUACCCCACAUAUUACAAAGUUCUAAGAGCUUUGUUGUCAUCCAGAAGGAGGUUAAGCCCUCCUUCAAAUCCCAACUGAUACAUAGGUAAUCACUCCCAAAUCCCCAGUAUGUUGAUAUAUACUA
Long non-coding RNA from Passer domesticus (house sparrow), 2037 nucleotides. RefSeq lists it as uncharacterized. The record is from RefSeq and is a predicted model, not a curated record. Lineage: Eukaryota; Metazoa; Chordata; Aves; Passeriformes; Passeridae. The transcript has 3 exons.